RNAcentral lists this long non-coding RNA (303 nucleotides) under Gossypium raimondii (Peruvian cotton). RNAcentral's name for it is "long non-coding RNA (GRAI_LNC007236)". The record is from RNAcentral. Lineage: Eukaryota; Viridiplantae; Streptophyta; Magnoliopsida; Malvales; Malvaceae.
AUUUUGGUAAAAAUAAAAAAUAAUAAAAAUAAUAGGAAAAGAAGAAACCUAUGUAUGAAAGGUAGACAACUUUUUUUUGCGCUGUUUGCUUUUUUUUUUUUGCGCUGUUUGCUUUUUUUUACGAUUUUUCUCAACUUUUUUUUGCGCUUUUUGCUUUUCUUUAUUAACUAAUUUUUUAAUAAAAAAUCGAUGAAACCGAUGAAAAGUGUUUUUGAUAUUUUGACUCGUUUCGGAUUUGAUUUUAGCUUCAAAAAUAACACCGAAUGGCCUGAAACUGAUACCAACUGAUGCUGAAUCCCGGAU